CCUACGGGUGGCAGCAGUCGAGAAUCAUGCACAAUGGGGGAAACCCUGAUGGAGCGACGCCGCGUGGGGGAAUGAAGGUCUUCGGAUUGUAAACCCCUGUCAUGUGGGAGCAAAUUAAAAAGAUAGUACCACAAGAGGAAGAGACGGCUAACUCUGUGCCAGCAGCCGCGGUAAUACAGAGGUCUCAAGCGUUGUUCGGAAUCACUGGGCGUAAAGGGUGCGUAGGCUGUUUCGUAAGUCGUGUGUGAAAGGCGCGGGCUCAACCCGAGGACGGCACAUGAUACUGCGAGACUAGAGUAAUGGAGGGGGAACCGGAAUUCUCGGUGUAGCAGUGAAAUGCGUAGAUAUCGAGAGGAACACUCGUGGCGAAGGCGGGUUCCUGGACAUUAACUGACGCUGAGGCACGAAGGCCAGGGGAGCGAAAGGGAUUAGAUACCCCUGUAGUC
Molecule: ribosomal RNA, 446 nt
Filed under: uncultured bacterium
Lineage: Bacteria
Description: partial 16S ribosomal RNA
Rfam family: Bacterial small subunit ribosomal RNA
Source: RNAcentral